This 28-nucleotide non-coding RNA is filed under the name Bombyx mori (domestic silkworm). Lineage: Eukaryota; Metazoa; Arthropoda; Insecta; Lepidoptera; Bombycidae. The record is from RNAcentral.
UCACAUCAAAACAGUGUCUGCUAAUUAU